CCCUUAGAUGUUCUGAACCGCACGCGUGUUACACUGAUGCAUUCAACGAGCUUUACCUUGGCCGAGAGGCCUGGGAAAUCUUUUUAGCAUGCAUCGUGAUAGGGAUUGAUUGUUGCAAUUAUUAAUCAUGAACGAGGAAUUCCUAGUAAACGCAUUUCAUCAAAAUGCAUUGAUUACGUCCCUGCCCUUUGUACACACCGCCCGUCGCACCUACCGAUUGAGUGGUCCGGUGAAGUCUCGAGAUUGUGGCAAUCUCCUUUAUUGGAGUUUGACUGCGAGAACUUGCCUAAACCUUAUCACUUAGAGGAAGGUGAAGUCGUAACA
RNAcentral lists this ribosomal RNA (324 nucleotides) under uncultured eukaryote. Its description in RNAcentral is "partial 18S ribosomal RNA". It matches the Rfam family "Eukaryotic small subunit ribosomal RNA", at positions 1470 to 1796 of the family's 1831-position model. The record is from RNAcentral.